GGAGAGAUGGCUGAGUGGUCGAAAGCGGCAGAUUGCUAAUCUGUUGUACGGUCUUGAACCGUACCGAGGGUUCGAAUCCCUCUCUCUCCG
Molecule: transfer RNA, 90 nt
Filed under: Leptolyngbya sp.
Lineage: Bacteria; Bacillati; Cyanobacteriota; Cyanophyceae; Leptolyngbyales; Leptolyngbyaceae
Also listed under: 25 other names
Description: tRNA-Ser
Rfam family: tRNA
About the family: Transfer RNA (tRNA) molecules are approximately 80 nucleotides in length. Their secondary structure includes four short double-helical elements and three loops (D, anti-codon, and T loops). Further hydrogen bonds mediate the characteristic L-shaped molecular structure. tRNAs have two regions of fundamental functional importance: the anti-codon, which is responsible for specific mRNA codon recognition, and the 3' end, to which the tRNAs corresponding amino acid is attached (by aminoacyl-tRNA synthetases). tRNAs cope with the degeneracy of the genetic code in two manners: having more than one tRNA (with a specific anti-codon) for a particular amino acid; and 'wobble' base-pairing, i.e. permitting non-standard base-pairing at the 3rd anti-codon position.
Source: RNAcentral